AUGUUGUUACCACAAUAUAGCUUUCAUGAAAAUCUUUGCAAUAACAUUUACUGAUAGUUUUAUUUGAUUGUAUAAUUCAGUUAAUUGUUUAUUUUGUUUCAAGCCUUUCUAUUAUUGCCCAGUUCAUGGAGGAUAAGAAUAAGAUUAUGCUUCUGGGGAAUUUCAAGAAUAUCAAGAAUUUCUACUAAAGUUGAAGAAUCAAACUAUGAGGAGAAAACUCGUGAAGAUAAAGACUUUGCACCAGCUAUCUUUAAUCGACAAUAAUAGAGACGAAGGAUGGCACUAGUCACAAGGCCGAUACAUAAAAUAAGCAACCUAACGGUACGAAGAUUAGAAAUGAUCGUGCAAAAUGCAUUUAAAUUGUACUUUAGUAGUAUUUGAUAUUGAACUUUUAGAUG
Molecule: long non-coding RNA, 398 nt
Filed under: Lotus japonicus
Lineage: Eukaryota; Viridiplantae; Streptophyta; Magnoliopsida; Fabales; Fabaceae
Description: long non-coding RNA (LJAP_LNC000119)
Source: RNAcentral